RNAcentral lists this ribosomal RNA (1224 nucleotides) under Triticum aestivum (bread wheat). RNAcentral describes it as "partial small subunit ribosomal RNA". Lineage: Eukaryota; Viridiplantae; Streptophyta; Magnoliopsida; Poales; Poaceae. The record is from RNAcentral.
AUGUGUUCAACCAUACCUAACUUGAGGAGAAGAGCAGGAUGCGGAAGCGCGACAGGGUGUGGAUUUGAUUCAUUUUGGGUUCAUGUUCACGUUCUACUGCUCUUCUACAUUGAGGAGAAGAGCAGCACGUACGCCAUCGGCACUAGCAGACGGGAUGACAGAGCUCAGCAAGAAUCACCUCGCAAAUCACAGAUCAACACUGAUGCAAAAGCCAAUCAGGGCGGAGUCAGCCGUCAGAUCUCCUGCAAAAGUAUAAAAGGGAGCCGCUCGUGUGGAGAAGACCUAGCCGCUGCUCCUCCCGCACUCGCGCCGCCCCCUCCUCCUCCUCCUCCCAUCGCCGCCCCCUCCUCCUCCUCCCACGGCCCACCUUCGCCCGUCUUCGCCUACGCUGCCGCCGCCUCUGGUGGCCAUCAGAGGCGGCCAUCGGCCCCUCCGCCCCACCCACGUGGGGAGAGAUAUGAAACUGCAGCUGAAAUGGUCGAGAAGUUUGAGUCAGGGACUAGAGAUUUGGGCAGCCACUACAGCAUAUCAAUGUCUAAUGAGGAUGCAACAACUGCCUCACAGAGAAGGCCCAGACUUAUGCUAACAAGGCCAAAGGAACCUGAGUUUCAGACUACUCACAUGGUCCGAGCAGUCAGAAUGAAAAGCUCUUCAGAACUAGAGGAGGAAAUGCUGGCCAAGAUCCCAAAGUUCAGAGCAUGGCCAUUUAACAAAAAGAUAGCUGAAGCUCCGUCUUUCCCUCCUCUUCCAAGGAUAGCUCCACAGCUUCCCGAUUUCAAUGAGUUUCACCUUAAAACAAUGGAAAGAGCGUCUCGACAUGAUGACACAUGUUCAGAAGCUUCUUCUGUAGAAACUAUGCGGGGUCAGGGUAGUAAGCCACUUAAACUGACUGAAGUGAAACCCCCACAACUUGAGACAGCACUGCACGAACUGGAACUAGAAGAAUUGAAGAAAGCCCCCAAGUUCAAGGCCAAGCCACUGAACAAAAAGAUUCUUGAGAGGAAGGGCGGUAUUGGUGUUUUUGCCCAUCCGAAGGUCCAGGCAACAGAGCCCAAGGAGUUCCAUUUUCGUACUGACGACCUCUUGGGACCUCCUGCAGUUGCGGAUCUUCUCGACAAGCUUUCUAUGUACUCUGAAUCUUCUUCCUACAAUGACAAGAGAGAUAUGCCGAGACUGACGAUACCCAAACCUUUCAAUCUACAUACAGAUAUAUGGAAGAUCUAA